GAAUAGUGACAGUGGGUUUUGGCACCAGAAAUGGGGUAGGUGAUGGGUACUUUCCCGAAAAUCAUACAAAACCAAAUCUAAUACAUCUCGCGUCUUUCGACUCCAUAUUCUCCCUACUCUCUAAUGAAACCCUACACAAGAAAAUCCUUCUUCGUCCUGUCUAUGAACACUGAAAUAAGGCGAUUUUAGUUUAUAAAUAAAGACUCUAAAAGGAUUUCAUACGGUUUAAUCAACAGGUUCAUGUUUGCGGCAUUUUUUGGAUCUAAGAAGCGUAAUUUGACAGAUUAUACGAAUACACAGUCCAGAAUUGUACUGUGCCCGGUUGAACAUUGGUUUGACCGCUUUGGCAGUUAAGCAAGCUAAAUCUGAAGGUUAUCUCUUGCAGCGCAACCUGAAAGUACUGUUUCUACCAUUGAGAAUCCAUAAUUGAGGAUGCUCCAACUUCGAGAUUUAUUUGGACAAUUGAGAGUUUUUCCAGGUUGAACACAUAGGAACACUGCCCUGAUGUAUUUUCUGUUGGUGAUUUUAAAUGACACACAACAUCGGUUCAAUGCACGAGAGAGUGAUUGGAGCUUCACAUCCUUAUGCCUCUAAAUGACCUCUAGGAUCCUGAUGAAGAUGAGGUUAUCUGUAAGGUUGUCAACAACUGGGGUGACGAUUUAUCAUGUAAAUGAAGUCUAUUCUUGCUGUGCAAAGUACUAACUCAGAUUUUUUUAGAAAAACUAUGUAAGAACAUAUUUUAAAGAAGAUGAAACCUAGCUUUCCAGCUCUUUCCAACUGAGUGAUGGGUUUCUUCUGCCACCACAGCUAUGGCGUCAAAGAAAAAUGUCUUCAUACCUGAACAGAUAAGGAGGGAAAUGCACAAGCUCCAUACAAGUUUUCUCAAUUAAAUCUUACGUUCAAUCCCAAGACAGUGACAAUUAUCUGGAAGGCCUCAACGGUGACAGUGAUACGAUACAUAAGUAUUUAUUGUAUAAUUGCACUCUUUGUAGACCCCCAUGGAUAUCCAUCAUACUACCUCCAUAGAUAUCCAUCACACCCAUGUAAUAACUAGGUCUACUUUUGUUGUUUGUUUUGCAGGUACCCUCGAAAGUAGCAUUUAUCGUUGUGGGAAUGAGAGCGUCGAUAAUAGAAGGGAAGUCGGAUUGGUGUGCUAAUGGCUGCGAUGAUGGGGGCUGAUCAGUACUGAUCUGGUUCAGUAGCAAUGAUUGGUUCUACAGGUACAUUGGUUAAUAUGAACUACAGGCGAUAUGUGGUCAGGUUCUGAAGGUGACAUAGUUAAGGUCUGGCCAUCGAAACCCAUUGAAAAAUCCAAGUCUUUAGACUGGGUCUUGUGGAGCUUCCCAGCCUCUUCCCAAAUGCCUUUACACAUCAGCCUGGGAAGAGCCUAGCCCCAGCGGUAAUUCCCGAUUUAAAUAGUGGACGGGCAAUGGUCAGCCGUUUCAAAGAGAAAAACGGGUUAUCAUUACCCAUUCCUCUCAAAACGGUCCACCAUCAUCCGCUUAUAGUGAAACGAAUGCUCAUUAGCCGUUCUAUAUAGCUUGACCAGUCAACACCCCCUUUCAAGUUUUCUUCAAACAUCAAACAGAGAACUCGAUUCAGAGUUUUAAAGGGAUGAUUGACCCGGUCUUAAGUUAGAUUUUCAGCUAAGUAACAAUAUAUGACAAGGAUUUGUGAUUGGUUCUCAAUGAGCUUUUCGGGUGAACGAUGAUUUUCUCAUGUGUACGUGUUUUCAGGCUUGUGGUGAAUUUGUUAA
Papaver somniferum (opium poppy) is the source of this 1756-nucleotide long non-coding RNA. RefSeq lists it as uncharacterized. Lineage: Eukaryota; Viridiplantae; Streptophyta; Magnoliopsida; Ranunculales; Papaveraceae. The transcript has 7 exons. The record is from RefSeq and is a predicted model, not a curated record.